CGCCCUUAAGAAAAAGUAAAGUAAAUAUCAUCGGGAGAAGACGAAUAGGUCAUCCUCUUAUAGACGUUGUUAAAUGCGGAAGAUAUAACAUUGAGGUCAAGUGGUUUCUUUCUGUCUCGAGUAUUAAGACAGCUUCAAGUAGAUCACAUAAUCUUAACUUGAAAUUAUUUAUAGCCACGUAUUAAUUUUCUGCGAAGUUAUAAAGCAGACAGAAUAUUCAAGUUCGCCUGUUGUUAAGCCGGGUUAUUUUUUUGUAAUUUUUUUUUUU
This 268-nucleotide long non-coding RNA is filed under the name Mytilus galloprovincialis (Mediterranean mussel). Lineage: Eukaryota; Metazoa; Mollusca; Bivalvia; Mytilida; Mytilidae. The record is from RNAcentral.